AUACGGAGGGGGCUAGCGUUGUUCGGAAUUACUGGGCGUAAAGCGCGCGUAGGCGGGUUGGUCAGUCAGGGGUGAAAUCCCGGGGCUCAACCCCGGAACUGCCUUUGAUACUGCCAGUCUAGAGGUCGAGAGAGGUGAGUGGAAUUCCGAGUGUAGAGGUGAAAUUCGUAGAUAUUCGGAGGAACACCAGUGGCGAAGGCGGCUCACUGGCUCGAUUCUGACGCUGAGGUGCGAAAGCGUGGGGAGCAAACAGGAUUAGAUACCCUAGUAGUCC
Molecule: ribosomal RNA, 274 nt
Filed under: uncultured bacterium
Lineage: Bacteria
Description: partial 16S ribosomal RNA
Rfam family: Bacterial small subunit ribosomal RNA
Source: RNAcentral